This 1220-nucleotide long non-coding RNA is filed under the name Homo sapiens (human). RNAcentral describes it as "HSALNT0285140". The record is from RNAcentral. Lineage: Eukaryota; Metazoa; Chordata; Mammalia; Primates; Hominidae.
UAGCUAAAGUGAAGCAGAGUAUCAAGCAAUCAUCUGGGGACUUUGAUUAACAUGGACAACAAAUCUGAAUAAUCCAUGUCCUGAGAGUCCUGGUUUUUGUCUAGCUCAGAACACAUUACUAAUGAGGUUAAAGUUACUGUAGGUUUGUUCCUUGAAUGGGGGCAGUUAGUUGUGAUCUGUUCCAUGGCCACAAAAUGCACCUCUAACCUCAGCCAGCUGUCUUGGAAAAUGAGUGUCCUUGGUCAUACAGGCAGUCAUGCAAGAAACCUAACAACCAAUCUCUACCAGUUGGAAAGUAAAAUAAAAUGUAUUUCCUGUGGACAGUAGGUCAGCAGUGACAUUUUUGUGUAAAAUAAUAAUUGUAACAAUAAUUCUUACAUAGCUCUUACUCUGUGCCAACAGUGUUCUAAGCACUUUUUACAUACAUUAACUUACAGUGUUCACACUCCUGUGUAUUAUUGGUAUACACAUUUUACAAAUGAGGAAAUGGAGGCACAGAAAGGCUAUUUUGCCCCACAUAAAAAUAGAUGACAUUUUAAUCUUUUCUAGGUAUUUUGCCACUCUAUCAAGAAAGUUAAGGACUCUCAAGCUUUUGGAUGCUUAGAAAAUACAUCAGAGGAGGACAGAAACUCAGAUAUCUCUGCAUCCUGAAUUCAUUGGUGGAAUUGCUACUGUGCCCAGUAAAAGCAUUUCAGUCAUGCAAGGAGAGGAUGUUAAGGUAAAGGAAUGAAACCGAAGACCAGAAAGUGGUAAAAAGCAGCAGUGAAGAAACCAAAACUAAAACAAACCAGCAAAGACCAUAUUCAGCUCACAGCCUUUCAGGAACUGAAGUAGAUCAUUGGCCCAGACUCUCCACUGAAUCCGAAGAAUGCUUUGCAGGGGAUGUUCAGAGGCUUACCUGAGAAUGAGAGAAAAAGAAAUGAGCAAAUGACUCCUGAUUAUCAGUGGGAGACAGGAAGCGACCAUUUAACAUCCAAAGGAAAACUCAGAGGACUGUGACCAAAGAAGAGGUCAUGUGCACCACAGCAAGAUGGCAGCUACCUACAAGUCAAGAGAAGAGACCUUCAGAAUAAAACCUAUCUUGCUGGCACCUUGAUCUUGGACUUCUCAGCCUCCAGAACUGUGAGGAAAAAAUUUUUGUUGAUUAAGCCACCCAGUUUAUGGUGCUUUGUUGAUAGCCUGAGUAAACUAAGACAGGGUAUAAUAUUUUGCUAUGUUUG